This 197-nucleotide ribosomal RNA is filed under the name Escherichia coli. RNAcentral describes it as "partial 16S ribosomal RNA". It matches the Rfam family "Bacterial small subunit ribosomal RNA", at positions 1349 to 1533 of the family's 1533-position model. The record is from RNAcentral. RNAcentral also lists the same sequence under 8 other names. Lineage: Bacteria; Pseudomonadati; Pseudomonadota; Gammaproteobacteria; Enterobacterales; Enterobacteriaceae.
UCAGAAUGCCACGGUGAAUACGUUCCCGGGCCUUGUACACACCGCCCGUCACACCAUGGGAGUGGGUUGCAAAAGAAGUAGGUAGCUUAACCUUCGGGAGGGCGCUUACCACUUUGUGAUUCAUGACUGGGGUGAAGUCGUAACAAGGUAACCGUAGGGGAACCUGCGGUUGGAUCACCUCCUUACCUUAAAGAAGC